This is a long non-coding RNA of Perca fluviatilis (European perch), 317 nucleotides long. RefSeq lists it as uncharacterized. Lineage: Eukaryota; Metazoa; Chordata; Actinopteri; Perciformes; Percidae. The record is from RefSeq and is a predicted model, not a curated record. The transcript has 3 exons.
CGAAAAGUUCAAGGGGGCCGAAUACUUUCGCAAGGCACUGUAGAUCCCUCGACUCCCUGGAGGAAAAACAGAAGCUGAUGAAUGCCUUGUCCAGGGUGGGAGGAGUCCACUUGAAAGACAAUGUUAAAAGGGCCAUGGAGAAAGAGUGUCCAGAGGACGACUGCAGAAAUGGAGGCAAGCAUUGCAGCGGCUGUCGCCUUCUGUUUGACUACAGCUUCAAGGAGCAUUUUCAUUAUGUUUGCCACCAUAAGUAGCUACUGAGCAAAGUCUUUUAAAACUACAAGUUUUAAAAUAAAGAGGUUAUUUUCUUAACUCAA